Molecule: ribosomal RNA, 497 nt
Filed under: uncultured bacterium
Lineage: Bacteria
Description: partial 16S ribosomal RNA
Rfam family: Bacterial small subunit ribosomal RNA
Source: RNAcentral
GAUGAACGCUGGCGGCGUGCCUAAUACAUGCAAGUCGAGCGAACAGGCGAGGAGCUUGCUCCUCUGACGUUAGCGGCGGACGGGUGAGUAACACGUGGAUAACCUACCUAUAAGACUGGGAUAACUUCGGGAAACCGGAGCUAAUACCGGAUAAUAUAUUGAACCGCAUGGUUCAAUAGUGAAAGACGGUUUUGCUGUCACUUAUAGAUGGAUCCGCGCCGCAUUAACUAGUUGGUAAGGUAACGGCUUACCAAGGCAACGAUGCGUAGCCGACCUGAGAGGGUGAUCGGCCACACUGGAACUGAGACACGGUCCAGACUCCUACGGGAGGCAGCAGUAGGGAAUCUUCCGCAAUGGGCGAAAGCCUGACGGAGCAACGCCGCGUGAGUGAUGAAGGUCUUCGGAUCGUAAAACUCUGUUAUUAGGGAAGAACAAAUGUGUAAGUAACUAUGCACGUCUUGACGGUACCUAAUCAGAAAGCCACGGCUAACUACGUG